CAGCCCUGGGCAGGUCUGGGGGUGCUGCGAAGUAGGGCACCGCAACAUAACGGCCCUGUGUCUUAGGUGGCCAGGAAGGGGAAGGCAGGAGAUACAGAAGGAAAGGAAACUAACAUUUUAUUGAGACAGGCAUUGUGCUGGUCCUGAGGUUUAUGCGAAGAUUAAUUUCUGGGGGUGAGAAGGUAAAAAAUGAUGAGGUGGAAACCAGCAUCUUCUGUUACUCCCAUCUGUGCAGAGUUAAAGAAGACUUGAAAGAAGGGGAUGUGAGUGGCAGGAAAAUCCCCAGUGACCGGCCCUGAACCUUCUGCCAGCGCAGCUCACCUCCUCCCCAAAUGCCUCCCAAUAGGAUCUCAGCCCUAAACAAGCACAGGGCGUGGGGUGGUACAGAUGAUGAUGUAGCUGCUUCUGAGAUGCCCCUGGGCGCUGCUGGAGCUGAGCCCUGGGACUGGAAUGACUUUUGCCCGCUGCCCUCAAAAUUCCCACAGGCCACACCGCUACCACCUCUUGGUUGAAUUGCAAAGCAAAGACCCAUAGAAGUGAACUGUGAUACCAGAAAUUCUCUGCCCAGCUUGAAGUUGUUGAUAUAUUAUAAUCCUUAUGUGUGACGUUAAUGGUUUUAGUAUAUAUUAUCUGCCAUCUAGCCUGUUUAUUUCAAAUAUAGCUUCUGAAUUCAUGGA
This is a long non-coding RNA of Homo sapiens (human), 677 nucleotides long. RefSeq lists it as uncharacterized. The record is from RefSeq and is a predicted model, not a curated record. The transcript is spliced from 2 exons. Lineage: Eukaryota; Metazoa; Chordata; Mammalia; Primates; Hominidae.